UGAGCUUUUAAUACGAAAAUAGAAAACCUUGAGAAAAGCAUUCGGGAAUUUUAAACUUGAAUGUCUGUUGUUAAAAAAAAAAUAAUUAAUUGAAAAGGAAAUAAUAUCAAGAAUAUUAGUGGUAAACGAUUGUGUUUAUAAACACGCAAAGAUCGUGUUGGUCUCGGUCGAGAAAACUGAAAAAUCAAUAAUUUUGUAAUACGCUAUUAAGACCUACAAUACCAUCAUUUACGGAGCAGAAACAUGGUCAUUAGGAAAUUUAGAUGA
Cinara cedri is the source of this 267-nucleotide non-coding RNA. The record is from the annotation of a GenBank genome assembly. Lineage: Eukaryota; Metazoa; Arthropoda; Insecta; Hemiptera; Aphididae.